This 451-nucleotide ribosomal RNA is filed under the name uncultured bacterium. Its description in RNAcentral is "bacterial SSU rRNA". It matches the Rfam family "Bacterial small subunit ribosomal RNA", at positions 329 to 794 of the family's 1533-position model. The record is from RNAcentral.
GACCAGACUCCUACGGGAGGCAGCAGUGGGGAAUAUUGGGCAAUGGGCGCAAGCCUGACCCAGCAACGCCGCGUGAAGGAAGAAGGCUUUCGGGUUGUAAACUUCCUUUCUGAGGGACGAAGAAAGUGACGGUACCUCAGGAAUAAGCCACGGCUAACUACGUGCCAGCAGCCGCGGUAAUACGUAGGUGGCAAGCGUUAUCCGGAUUUAUUGGGUGUAAAGGGCGUGUAGGCGGGAAAGCAAGUCAGAUGUGAAAACUCAGGGCUCAACCCUGAGCCUGCAUUUGAAACUGUUUUUCUUGAGUGCUGGAGAGGCAAUCGGAAUUCCGUGUGUAGCGGUGAAAUGCGUAGAUAUACGGAGGAACACCAGUGGCGAAGGCGACUAUCUGGCACAUAACUGACGCUGAGGAGCGAAAGCGUGGGUAGCAAACAGGAUUAGAUACCCUGGUAAC